GACGAACGCUGGCGGCGUGCUUAACACAUGCAAGUCGAACGGAGAGGCCCUGCUUUUGUGGGGUGCUCGAGUGGCGAACGGGUGAGUAACACGUGAGUAACCUGCCCUUGACUUUGGGAUAACUUCAGGAAACUGGGGCGAAUACCGGAUAGGAGCUCCUGCUGCAUGGUGGGGGUUGGAAAGUUUCGGCGGUUGGGGAUGGACUCGCGGCUUAUCAGCUUGUUGGUGGGGUAGUGGCUUACCAAGGCUUUGACGGGUAGCCGGCCUGAGAGGGUGACCGGCCACAUUGGGACUGAGAUACGGCCCAGACUCCUACGGGAGGCAGCAGUGGGGAAAAUUGCACAAUGGGCGGAGGCCUGAUGCAGCAACGCCGCGUGCGGGAUGACGGCGUUCGGGUUGUAAACCGCUUUCGCCUGUGACGAAGCGUGAGUGACGGUAAUGGGUAAAGAAGCACCGGCUAACUACGUG
This 468-nucleotide ribosomal RNA is filed under the name uncultured bacterium. RNAcentral's name for it is "partial 16S ribosomal RNA". It matches the Rfam family "Bacterial small subunit ribosomal RNA", at positions 28 to 507 of the family's 1533-position model. The record is from RNAcentral.